Long non-coding RNA from Sinocyclocheilus grahami, 1999 nucleotides. RefSeq lists it as uncharacterized. The record is from RefSeq and is a predicted model, not a curated record. The transcript has 3 exons. Lineage: Eukaryota; Metazoa; Chordata; Actinopteri; Cypriniformes; Cyprinidae.
GGUCGAAACUGGAGCUAAAGAAGCUGUACUAAAUAUUUCACAUACAUAAUUGACAAUUAGAGGAAGUUUGGAUGGGAAGUCAUCUCGAGUCAAGUUGUGACAACGACAUGUGACAUCUUUGUGAAAGGACACUAGAACUUCUGUCACUACAUAAACUGAAAGAGUUAUUAGCAGAGUACUGAUCACUAGCCAAUUUUUUUUCCCAAGCAAAAACAUCAAAUGUAUUUGGUUAUUAAUUGGUAAUUUCUGGUUGACCUAAGGAAUUUUGGACCCUUCUUCCCUCAAGAUCAAAUCUGGGCAAGUCUAGAUGUGUGCGAACGAACUACAAGAAGUGAAAGUUGAUCAUGCUUUACUUGAACAGCCUGAGCCGAGGGCUGACUCGAGCAGUGUCGCCUGUCAGGACAUCUGUAAGGACACAGACCAUCGCAAAUUAGCCAUUUGCAGCAUCAUAUGUGGCCUCUCCUGUCUUGGAAUGAUGUCCCUUAUGUACUCCGUCAAGGCCCGAGAGACAAGAAAAAGACUUCAAAACAAAGAUUGUCCAGAAACACGAGAGAUGAUUAAGAAAUACUCAGAAAAGGCGUGUAAAUGGGGUAUUGGGUCCAUUGUAGCCUGGGUGGUUUUAAUUCUCAUCUUUCCAUUGCUGGUGGGAUUUCUGUCCUAUAUUGUAACCUUCAUAGACUGACACUGAAGAAGCUUUUCUACAGUUAAAUGAGCAACCAAAGCAAAUGAACUGUAAGAGUGCAGAAACAGACUCUUUCAUUGCUCACACUGCAUCUAGACUAUCCAAAAAGUUACUUGAUGGCAAUAGGUUGGUCAAUAAUGGUCAUUAUUUAAAUUCACUGUGGGUUUCGAAAGGUGCUUGUCCUUAGUCUGGAUCAAAGGUUCACAACGUCCUACCCAUAAUAUAAGAGGAUUCAACAGCUCAACAUUUGCAUUGCAAUUAAAUCACUGCAAUUAAGCCAAUGCAGGUAGUUCAAAAUGGUACAGCAACUUUCAGGAAUUUGUUACAUGCAUGAGAUGGAGCCAUGCAUAAAACCAUCCGUCCAGACAGAAGCUACUGCUACACUUCAGCAAGCUGGUUUUAUUUAUGCUCUUACUGCAAACUGGAAAUGAAACAUUGAGACACUCACAGAGAGCAUAACAUUCAAAUGUUGAGAUAUGGAUGUGGUUACAUUUUUAACAUUCUGUUUUUGUAAAUAAGUCGUACUGUUUCAAUACUUUGUGCUUUUGAUGUUUUGUACACUGCAUGUAUUUCAGGCUUUGUAAUAAAAUGUGUAGCAGUCAAAAUGCAUCUGCUCAUUGUAAGCGUCUUACAAACAACUCGACAAAACACUAAAAUACAAAACAGUUCAAUCGUAUUCUAUUAUAAAUACAGAACGCAGACAUCUAUCAAACAAGUUUACACUAAUCAUUCAACAUGUUCAAACACCACAAACAGUAUUAUAAAUCACUACAUCAAAGAUAAACAAGACUAAAUUAAGUGAAUGGACUAUAUUUAGAGUGCCUGAGUAAAAGCACAGAAUGCAUUAAACUUUUAAAUCCUUUAUGCUUCUCGAUGAGAAGUAUAAAGCAUAAUUUCAAACCGAACAAUGCAAACUUUCAAUGCUGUCACUUCAAAGGCCUUUGUGCCGUCUCCCUUAUAAUGAAACACACAGGGCAUCCUGAGAGUGUAUUAAUAAGGCAUUAAUUUAAACCAAAGAAGUUUAAAUGUUUUAAAAGAGGAAUAUACUGAGAGAGGAAUGGUUUACGAGUGACCUGGUGACUCUUACUUUGAAACACUUUCUGAUACGGAGAUGUGGUGAGGAGGAAUUAGAGAUAUUUUAAACAUAUGCCACAGAUUAUAGUAAACAAGUGCUUGCUUUGAAUGGUUAUAAAAAGACAAAACAGAGUUGUUUCUUGUUACAUCAGUCCAAUCUACAAAUAAACGCCAUUACCUUGCAAAAUAUAAAAAGAAAGUGAUGUAUUUUUAAGAUCUUUACAGUACAUAAGUAAUCAAAAA